CCUUCAAAGAUGGUCACAUUGGGUCAGGUAGUUCUACUUCUCUGGGAAUGCGUUCAUGUUAUAGAGGUGACACAGUCUUCAGCCAUACGUCUGGACAGUCAUCUCAAGUCCGUAGCUGUUGGAGACACAGUGACUCUUUACUGCUUCUACCAAGACUUUACGGCAACGCAAUAUUUUUCUUGGUACCGGCAAACCCUAGGAGAUGAACCACAGCUGGUAUCUAUAAUGUAUAAGUAUAAACAAAAAGCUAGACUGCACAAUGAGUUUAAGGACGAUCCUCGCUUCUCUGUGCAAUGUGAUAAAGGAACAAAUCACCUGACAAUCUCAGAUGUCCAACCUUCAGAUUCAGCUAUGUAUUUCUGUUCUAAAACAUACGUUAAUACACUGGAAUUUUCUGAUGGUGUCUUCCUCAAUGUAAAAGGUCCAGAUUCCAAUACCAAAGAAGUUGUCCAGCAGCCAGUCUCUGAGUCCAUCCAGCCAGGAGGCUCUGUUACUCUAAACUGUACAAUACUCAGUGAGACCUGUGCAGGAGAACGUAGUUCCACAGUGGGUUAA
Hypomesus transpacificus is the source of this 555-nucleotide non-coding RNA. The record is from the annotation of a RefSeq genome assembly. Lineage: Eukaryota; Metazoa; Chordata; Actinopteri; Osmeriformes; Osmeridae.